GCGCACCAGGCGCGAAUACUUUACAAUGUGCGAAAGCACGAUAAGGGAACUCUGAGUGCCUCCUAAGGAGGCUGUUCAGGUGUCUAAAAAGCACCUGGAGUAAGGGCUGGGUAAGACCGGUGCCAGCCGCCGCGGUAACACCGGCAGCCCAGGUGGUAGCCACUUUUAUUGGGUCUAAAGCGUCCGUAGCCGGUUGAGUAAGUUCCUUGGGAAAUUUGGCUGCUCAACAGUCAAGCUUCCAGGGAAUACUGCUCGACUUGGGGACUGGGAGAGGUCAGAGGUACUCCAGGGGUAGGGGUGAAAUCCAUUAAUCCCUGGGGGACCACCGGUAGCGAAGGCGUCUGACCAGACCAGGUCCGACGGUGAGGGACGAAGGCUAGGGGCGCGAACCGGAUUAGAUACCCG
Molecule: ribosomal RNA, 405 nt
Filed under: uncultured microorganism
Description: bacterial SSU rRNA
Rfam family: Archaeal small subunit ribosomal RNA
Source: RNAcentral